Molecule: ribosomal RNA, 513 nt
Filed under: uncultured bacterium
Lineage: Bacteria
Description: partial 16S ribosomal RNA
Rfam family: Bacterial small subunit ribosomal RNA
Source: RNAcentral
GAUGAACGCUGGCGGCGUGCCUAAUACAUGCAAGUCGAGCGAACAGAUGAAGUGCUUGCACUUCUGACGUUAGCGGCGAACGGGUGAGUAACACGUAAGGAAUCUACCUAUAAGCGGGGGAUAACAUUCGGAAACGGGUGCUAAUACCGCAUAAUAUCUUCUUCCGCAUGGAAGAAGAUUGAAAGACGGCUCUGCUGUCACUUAUAGCUGACCUUGAGGUGCAUUAGUUAGUUGGUGGUGUAAUGGCCUGCCAAGACGAUGAUGCAUAGCCGACCUGAGAGGGUGAUCGGCCACAUUGGGACUGAGACACGGCCCAAACUCCUACGGGAGGCAGCAGUAGGGAAUCUUCCGCAAUGGGCGAAAGCCUGACGGAGCAAUGCCGCGUGAGUGAAGAAGGCCUUCGGGUCGUAAAACUCUGUUAUAAGAGAAGAACAAAUUGUAGAGUAACUGCUACAGUCUUGACGGUAUCUUAUCAGAAAGCCACGGCUAACUACGUGCCAGCCGCCGCGGUAA